AUUGGUUCUGCCAGAGCUGCAUCAGCGACCUGCUCAGUCACCCUAACCCAUCAUGUCCAGCAGACAGAGAGCCGCUGUUCAAAGACAAGAUCUUCAGAGACGUUUGCUGCCAUCGGGAGAUCAUGGCGCUGAAGGUGUUCUGUCGCAGUGAAGCCAGCGGCUGCCCGGAGCAGCUGAGCCUGCAGCACAUCCCUGUGAGAACAUUAUAUAGAACUCUGGAACACUCCUGGUCCUUUAGCAGAACCCUGGGUUCUCCAGAGUGCUGUGGUUCAUUGUUUAUUAAUGUGGUUCAGCGGCAUUUACCGACCGCUGCAGUGCCGCUCGUCCACCGAAGUUCAUUCUCCCGUUAGCUCACGGCAGAAUUCAGUCUCCCGUUAACUCACACGGCAGCGGCCGCUGUAAAGUCUUCACUGUCUGACUGUCACACAAGCAGCUGAUACUGUUAUCCCCAAUU
Long non-coding RNA from Notothenia coriiceps (black rockcod), 454 nucleotides. RefSeq lists it as uncharacterized. The record is from RefSeq and is a predicted model, not a curated record. NCBI's taxonomy places the organism in Eukaryota, Metazoa, Chordata, Actinopteri, Perciformes, Nototheniidae. The transcript has 3 exons.